This 20296-nucleotide long non-coding RNA is filed under the name Populus tremula. Its description in RNAcentral is "long non-coding RNA (PTRE_LNC003103)". The record is from RNAcentral. Lineage: Eukaryota; Viridiplantae; Streptophyta; Magnoliopsida; Malpighiales; Salicaceae.
UUAGCAAUGUUGUAGCUGAACUGAAUCGAACUAAGGCCAAUUUUCUUGGAAGGCAUAGACUGCUAUCCUAGAAGGUUCUUGCCCUGUAGUGUCCAGACGACUUCAAAGUGAAUGUAAGACAUGAGGAAUGGAGUCUAAAUAUUGUAACUUGAUUGUUUCAAUCAGCAUGAUUCCUAGCUAGCUACUAGCCAGAAGUGUCCCUGAAAGAGAGCACGAAACCUGUGUAAGUGCCUGUUUUGUUCAAAUAACCUGUAAUGUAAUUAUGUGUUAUGCAAAAAUUAAGCACUCUACUUUUACAUGUUGACUUUGACCUAACCUUUUUGUUUUGUUUUUGCUCUAUUAUGAUGAUUGAAGAUUACACAACAUUGCCCUGCUUUAAUAUUUAUCUAUUCAUGCAGAAAUAAACCUAGAUAUCUGUUUGUUUUUAUUUUACAGUCUUGUGAUUUCUAUGGUUCAUAUUGUCUUGGUUUUUUUUUUUUUGUGUUUUUGUGUUUAUUGGGUGUUUAAUGUGUUUUUUAGCUUUAGUUUUGUUUUGGUUUAUUUUCGGGUCAAACCAAGAUUUUUGGUUCAGUUCAUGGUGAAACAAAAAUUUCAGGUCAACCCGAUCGGUAAAAACAAAUCUGGGUCAAAGGGUUUAUACCCUAUUUGAUUUGCUAUUUUUUAAGGUCUUUUUGUUUAAGAGUGUUUUUGACAAACACCCCUUAAGCCUAUUUAGGGUAGUUUUAUUAUAAAAAAGUAGUUUUUUUUCCAAACAAAGCCUUAAAAGUAAUAAGAAAUAUUUUCUUUUUUUUUUGUAUGACCAAAAAUCCUAAAUUUAUUUUAGCAUAAUUUUCAAAGAAAAUUUAAAAUAUUUUGGCAUAUUUUGAAAAAAUAUUGCAUGGAUUUUACAACAAGUUUGUAAAAUUUUAAAGGAUUUUGGCCUAUAUUUAAAAAUUAUUUUUGGCAAAGAGAUAUUAUUUACUUUUAAUAUAAGGAUAAGAAACCUAAAAGGGAUGAAUAUUCAAGAUAUUAUUAGGGAUAAUAAAUAUUAUUCACUUUUAAUAUAAGGAUAAAAUACCUAAAAUGGAUUAACAUUUAUAAUAUUAUCAGGGAUAAUAAUUUUAUUACUCACUUUAAUAUAAGAAUAAAAAACAUGUAUAAGGUUAAUAUCCAAAAUAUUAUUGUGAAUAAUACAACUCAUUCACUUCUAAUAUAAAGAUAAAAUCCAUAGAGAAUUUUAUCUAAAAUAUUAUUUGGAAUGGCGCGGUAGCAAAAUUCUAGUUUUUUCCUAAAAGAAGCCUCAACAAUAAUUGAGGGCAUUUCACUUUCACAGAUCGAGUUCUUGAUCUAGAAAAUUAGAGUUUGUUCAUCAUAGCAGACCCGUCAUAGUUAAGUCGGUAGAGAUAGAUGUCAUAAGACCAUAGCAAACAAAUACAAAAUAAUUCAAUUUAUUUUAAGUAAGGUGUACUAGGGAUGCUAAUAUCUUACCUUUACGCAACCAGUCUCUUGCCUAUCUCUAAAAAACCAGUUAGGGGUCUUAGUAUUUAUAAUAAUAGGUAGUAACUCCUCAACCAAGCCAAAGACAAUUUCAAAAGACACCGCUUGAGAAUUGUUGUUGCAAUGCAUCUCCCCUGUGAAGAGGGUACGCCACUCUUAUCUCAACCCCUUAAUAUUUACUUCUAACAAUAAAGAUCCUCCCACAAAGUGUGUUGAUCUAUAGACUUCUUUCAUAAGGAGUAUUAUUGUUAGGUAUUGAUUAUUUCCAUGAGACCCCAUUGUUAAGAAAAUAAUCAAGGUAAAUAAUAUUGAUUAUUUUCUAAUCAAUAAAAGAAAGAGAUUAAGGAAUUGAGCAACUUUAGGCAAUCAAAAAAUUAUUUCAAUCUUAUAAUCAAAGGAGAUGAUCAAGUAUAUUUUCUAUAAUUUAUUUUAUUUUAUUUCCUUAUGUGUCUUGUUAUAUGGCUAAUAAACUCUACAUGAGUUGAGUAUAAGACAUGUAUCAAAUUAUCAAAUAAUAACAUCCAAUUCUAUUCUAAUUUUUUUCUUGGUAUCAGAGUAGGUCGAUCAUAUAUUACUUUAAAUAUUAGCUUUUGUUUUUUCAAUGGACACCUUUAUGUCGUCUAUUCGACCACUUUAAAGCACUUUGUUUUCAAUCCUCUUCAUUGUCUACCAAAUAUUUUAUUUACUACACAUUUUCAAUGAUAAAUCAACUCAUGAUAAGGAGAAAUAUCAAGAUCAUGUGGAUGGCCAAAUGACACCCAAAGAAUAAUAAAAAGAAAUGGAGGUGUAAGAUGACAAAGCCCAAUAAGAAAAUUGAGAUCCUGCAUCAAGAGAAAGACAAAAAACAAUUGAGUCUUAGUGAAAAUUGAUAAGUUCUUGCACGAGAUAAGGUGAUGCAAAAGAGACCACCCAUACAAAAAAAAAAAAAAAAGAGUUCUUCCUAAAGAAAGGGAUGGAAAAUGGCUUAGGAGUGAUGAUAAAAAGAAGACAUCAAUCUGAUUACGAGUGAACCAAAAUAGAAUGGUCACUUGAAAAGCCAAAUCUUGAAAAGAGAUGUUUGCCUAAAGAAAUAUGGCAACAAUCAUAAGAGAAGAAAAAUGACUAAGAAUAGCCAUGUUUAGAAAAAUACAAUUGUUGAAGAUAAGAAGGUAAAGUUACAAUGAUAAGAGAAGGGUGUAUGUCAAACUCAUGAAAAAUAAAAUUAUCGUAAGUUUGAGGGAGUGUAUUAAUUAGAAAAUAAUCAAGGUAAAUAUUAUUGAUGAUUUUCUAAUCAAUAAAAGGAAGAGAUUAAUGAAUUGAACAACCUUAGACAACGAAGAAAUUAUUUCAAUUAUCUAAUCAAAGGAGAUGAUGAAAUAUAUUUUUUAUAGUUAGUUUUAUUUUAUUUUAUUGUGUCUUGUUAUAUAGCUAUAUAAACUCUAUGAAUAUGUUUUAAAUUUCUUAUCUUAUUAAUGACAAAAAAAAUAAAAUUCUAAGGAUAAUUUGGGUAUACAAUCUUUUGGUUUAGUGUAGAGAGCUAGCAAGUUUGGAAGUAGGGUGGUAGUAAAGAUGGAGAGCCAUACGUAGGUGGUGUGAUAAUGAUUUCCAAGGAGGGGAUAUGUAUUCAAUGGGUAGACUUUAAUUUCCACAAUGAGAAAACAAAGUUGUCUUUUCAACUUGGAAUAUUGCACGCAUCUGCAGUAGUUUAUAUAAACGAGUGUUAGAAAUUUGAAACAUCAACAAUAUUUCAGACCGAUGACACGUUACAAGGUUUGAAAUGACAAUGAAAGAAGGUCAUACACAAACACAAACAUGUGUUGCCAUAAAUCAAAGAAAUGGAUAUUAAGAGGAAAAAAAAAAAAAAACAGAAGUGAAAAUGAAAAGAAAUGAUAUGAAACAAAAUUAGUAUAACACGCUAAUGAGUCCUGUCAAUUGUCAUAUCAGAUGAAUAGUAUGGUUUUGUGUGGACUUUAUUUUGCACAAUGAGAAAAUUCAACGCCGUCCUUUUUAGGGGAAAAAAUUGGGAAACAUCUUCUCGACUUGGAAUAUUGCACCUGCAAGUGGUUAACGUAAAAUGAGUGUUAGAAAUUUGAAACUUGAGGCAUCCUUGCGGUCGUUGUUCAACCACCUCCUCCCAUGUGGAGAACUUUGAAUUUCUUUUCUUCCUCAAUCCAUUCUUCCCAACCCAAUAACUUCAGACAUGCAUUUCACUAUAUACAGAGGGAAGCUCUACACUCCUGCAUCCCUUAAUACAUCAUAUUAAGGGGUAAUACUAUGAAGAUGGAUUUAAUUAGUCUACUCUCAUAUAGUAUUGCUUGGAGUAUCUGAUUAACCAUAAAUAAUUUUGUUUUCAAUAAUAUACAACUUGAUCUGGAUCAGUCAUGUUUCUCUUUAACCCUCUACUGGUUGUCUGCUUGGUACUGAAAAGCAUUUCAAUUACACUAGUAAUGAUCUUUAAAUAGGUACAGAUUGCAUUCGUAUAUAGACUGUUGCUACCUAAUUUUUGACCCAUGUUUUGAUAUAUUUUCAAAAAUCCAAAAAAAUUGAGAAAAACAAAGAAAAUCCAAAAAAUAUGUUUUUUAAUACAUUUUCGUCCUUUUAGCAUUUUCAACGUCGUCUAAAAAAAGAAUUUAAAUUUUUUUAAAAAAAUUUCAAACGCGUUCGACUUUUCACGCGUCAUUUUAAAAAAAAACAUUGAUUUUCCUCGUUGAGUCGACGUUGAUAUUGCUCGUUUUCAAAAAAAUACAAAAAAAUAAGAAAAAUCAAAAUUUACAAAAAGAAAGAAGUUGAGGGACCAAGUUGAAAAACUUGGCAACAUUUUUGCCUAUAAAUACUGGUCUUUAACUCACACAAUAAGGGGGGGGGCAAUUUUGAAAUUAUCAGAAGACAAAAAUACAAAAAAAACCCUAACCCUAAAAUCCAUCUCUACCCAAAGGCAGCAGCCGGCGCCCCCCACUGUUUGAUUUUUUUUCCAGCCAUCUGAACCUCCACCAAAACGGCAGCAACCCGAUCUGACUUUCAGCCUCUCCCCCCAGACACACACAGAGGCCGCCGCCACCAUUUUUUUCAAAAAAAGAAGAAACCAAAGCAUCCAUUUUUCCCUUCCUUUGCUGUUGAAGCCGAUCGAAGCUCCUUCCCUUUGGCAAAGAAAAACGGACAGCCGCCUCCCUAAUCUUGGAAAAGAACUGGGGCUGCUGACUUCUCCUCUGAAAAAUAGAAAAAAAGAACCCCAGAGCAGCCCCCUCACCUUUUGAAUUAUUUUUUUCUCUUCUCACUCAAUCGGAGCAGCCCCCGCCCUUUGGGUUUUUUUUCUUCAGCCGAACGAACCAGCCCCGCGGCUCCUCCCCUCACUCCACAGCCGCCGGUCACCAGACCUCCCUCCCCCUCAGCCGUUCCUUCUUCCCUUGGCCAACAGCCUCAUCACCGUUCCCCCCUAUUUUCCUCUCCUGUCCAGCCCCUGCAUUUACUUCCUUGUUGCAGCCUCCCCACAGCAAACUCCGAUCUGCCUUCAGCCAGCCGCAUACUCAUUUCCUUCAACAGCCGGCCUAUCUUUUUCCUCCGGUUUCCAUCAACGCCGAUCUUCUUCUCAGCCAACAACACAGACGCCUCCAUCACCAGCCAACCACCGCAGCCUUCCCAUCAGCAACGGCUGCUUCUCCUUCGGUUGCCUCUCCCAGCGGCGGCCGAACAGCAGCGCCGCUACCACCGACAGGCUGCCAACCGUUGGCCACAGACGCCCUGACAGCAGAUCCGGUCACCUGAGACAGAGACGAGAGGAGGCAGAGAAACGGAAGGGGCAGAUCUAAAAGAAGAAACCGAAGCAGAUUUCAAAAACAAAGAAAUCUAAAAUCUAAAAUCGACUGUUUGUGGUCCCCUUUUUUGUGUUUCUUGUUGCAGGUAGAGACAAUAUUCACCGCCGGCGAGGAAGAAGGGAGGAUCUCCCCCUGGUGCAUUUUUUUUUUCGGCGGCGCGUGGGCUGGUGGUGCGCGCGUGGAGCAGACGCGCCACCACCAUUCAGCUGCCUAGAAGAUGCUCCCAGCACUGUUCCAGUGGUGCAGAAGGUGUCCCUGUAAAUUCCAGAUUGUUUUAGGGUUGUUAUUGUAAUUUUAAUGUAAUUUUUGUUUAAUGUAAUAUUCUUUUAAGUUUUGAGUUUUUUUUUUGUAAUUUGUUGUUUGUAAGUAUCUAAGGAAGAAAGAAAAAAGAAAAGAAAAGAAAACAAACAAAAAUAAUACAGUGAAUGAAUGUGAGUGUUUGUAUUUGUUUUUAUUUUUUUAAAUAUAUUUUUUAAUGAUAAAAUUGCAGAUAUUAAAGAAGAAUUUAAUAUUUUGAUUGGAUCACGGUUAAGAAUUUAAAAUCGCGAAGCAGCUUACCUCAGGUAGGGUGCGUUAGGGGUGCUAAUACCUUCCCUAACCACAACCAGUCCCUUACCCGCGAAUCUCUGACAAGACCAGUACAUCCGGUUUCCUAGUAGCCCGUAAUCAAUUACUAGGUGGCGACUCCAACAAACCAAAUUCAAACACGACACGACAACGAUAAAAAUCGCCAGCCGAUGCCGCGCGCUGAUUUUUUUUGGGGUGCGACAUAGACAAAUAGCAAAAGACAUAUGAUUGUGAGUGUCGUGAUAUUGGAAUAACUUUUACAGACUUUUUCCUCAAGAUAAUACUUUUCUGUUUAUUAAUAAUUUUUAAAAAAUAAAAAAAUAAUAUUUUGAUGCAUUUUUCUAAAUUAAAAACAUUUUCAACCAUCAACAUACACUACCACAAUCCUAAACAAACUCAUAAUCAUAUAUAAUAACUUCAAAUUUUAUGUCAGGUAAAAUAUUAUCCUAGUUAUUGUGUGUCAAAACAUUAAUACAAUUCAAGAAUUUAAAUGUUAAAAUAUUAUUAAAAAUGAAAUAUUAUUGGAAUAUUUAAUGGAUAAAUUAAAAAUGAAAUAAUUCAUAAUUUACUAAUCACAUAAUUAUGUUUUCAAAUUUAAUGAUUUGUUUUAGCUAGUCCAUGAUAUUCGAUGGUGAACAAGGUUAGAAUUAAAUUUUAAGAAUAGUUCUAGUGUUAAAAGAAGUUGGCUCUCUCCUUAACCUUUUUGAGUAUGAGCAAUGAGUCAAUAUCUAAAAAAAAAUUAUUCUUCUAAAUAGACUAAGUUUUUUUUUUUUUAAAGCUAGUAGAGUAAAUAAGACUUAAAGAGCACCUUCAACAAUGUUGUUUCUUAUUUUUUAGAGCUUCACAUAAACAAAAAUUAAUAAUAGAAAAAGAAAAAAUAGUAAAAAUAAAAAAAUGUUGAAAACAAUAAUAAAAAGAAUAUACUAGAAUACCUAAAAAAUUUUAAAGAUUGGUUUAGGAAGAUUAAAUAUACAAGAUUUGUUAUUGUAUUUUCGGUUGAUGAAGAUUUUAUUAGUAAUGAAAAUUUAAUUUGAUAAGAAAAAUUUAAAAUUAGAUGUUUAAGGAUUUAAUUAAAAAAAUUUAUAGUUUAUUUAAAUUUAAUGAGAGUUUAAUUAUAAGAAAAAAUAAUUUUUCUAAUGAGAAAAUAAUGUUGUCUUUUCAACUUAAAAUAUUGCAUGCAUCUGCAGUAGUUUAUAUAAACGAGGGUUAAAAAUUUGAAACAUCAACAAUAUUUCAGACCGAUGACACGUUACAAGGUUUGAAAUGACAAUGAAAGAAGGUCAUACACAAACACAAACAUGUGUUGCCAUAAAUCAAAGAAAUGGAUCUUAAGGAAAAACAAAAAAAACAGAAGUGAAAAUGAAAAUAAAUGAUAUGAAACAAAAUUAGUCUAGCACGCUAAUGAGUCCUGUCAAUUGUCAUAUCAGACGAAUAGUAUGGUUUUGUGUGGACUUCAUUUUUCACAAUGAGAAAAUUCACCGUCGUCUUUUUUAGGGGGUUAAAACUAGGAAACAUCUUCUCGACUAAAAUGGUGGAGCCAAUGAUGAUUGAAUUGAAGAAGAAAAGAAAAUUUUAAUUAAGUAUCAAAACACAAAAAUAUAAUGCAAUUUUUUAUCAUGUGAUAUUUAUGUAUACAAAAAUAUUUAUUUUAUAAUUCAUUUGUAAAUUGUUGUUAUUGUGUUAAACAUGCUACUUUUAAUUUUAGUAUUUGCUGGGAGGUUAGACAUUAAAACAAACACAACCUAUUAUUCACAUGCACAUCAUCGAUGGAAACACAGACAGUUUCUUUUCCUUCAGUGUUUUCCAAAUAAGAACUGUUCACACACCGAAUAGGUGAAUAGUUCCCAAAUCUCCGAUAGAAAUACCAAUAGUUUUGGUUUGCUGGUGUUUUUCAAAGGCAAUGGGAACUGUUCACAUCCUAAAUAGGUGAACAAUUCUCAUAUCCCUGAUGGACAUACCGACAGUUUUGGUCCCUUGGUGUUUUACAGAGGUGAUGAAAACUGUUCACACUCCAAAUAGGUAACAAGUUCUCACAUUCCCGAUGGAAAUACUGACAAACCAAAACCAUUGAUGUUUUCCAGAGGUGAUGAGAACUGUUCACUUUCCAUGUUGGUGAUGUCAAUUAAAGUGCUUUUAUUUACCAACAGACUACAAAUUCUAAAAUGCAUGUAAUUAAUGUAUCUCUAACCGUGUGUACUAUUUCAUAUUAACAAGGGAAUUACCUAUAAACAAUGAAAAUUCUUAUAGGGUUUUUUUUAAAAUUUGUGUGAAAUGAAAAUUUUAAAGUGAAUUUAUCGAGGGAAUCGCCAACAGAUUAAUUAAAAAUAAUAUUAUUUAAUAUUCCAGCAAGAGACCCUUGAGUUCAUUUUUUUCUCUCCUUCGUCUUUAUCCGUUUUGCAAUCUCAAAUCUUUCUAUUUUUUCCCCUCUCAAUCUCUAUUUAUAGUUCUAUCUUCAUCAUCAAAAUUUAAAAGCUAUAUAUGUAUUAUGAUUCAAUUUACUUAAUGAUUUUCUAUUUUUUCUAUUUUCUUGGUUUUAUUAACAAUAUAUAUAUAUAUAUAUAAACAUUCUAUUAAGGUAAGCAUUUUUCAUUCCUAAAGUUUAUGGGUUUUUUUUAAUUUGUUGCCUAUUUUAUUGUUUUUAUUACAAUAAUAAUUGAUUGUUUUGUUGUAUUUUAUUUGUUAUUCUUGAAUUUGACAUUAAUUAAUGUUAAUUGAAUAUAUAGGAUUAAAUUUAAUUGCUUUAUCUCAAUUUUAUUGUAUAUAUUGAAUAAUAGAGUGUUUGAUUGUUUUUGUUGAAUUUUAAUUGUUAUUUUUUUAAUUUUUAUAAAUGUUAGGUUACAUGUAGGAUUUUCUUUUCUCUAUUUUAUUGUUAAAGUUAUAUAUAUUAUAGCUUAUAUGUAGGAAUUGUUUUUCUCUAUUUUAUUGUUAAAGUUGUAUAUAUGCUAGCUUAUAUGUAGGAUUUUUUUCUCUAUUUUAUUAUUAGAAGCAUUAUAUUAUCACGUUGAAAAGGAGAUGAAAUUGAAUAAUCUGGAAUUUCUGGUAUAAAUAAAUUAAAAUCAAUUGGUUUGUGGCAUCUGUCUUAUUAAUAUUUGUAAGUUUGAAUAAUUUAGAUAGUCUCCAAUAUAGAAAAAGUGCUGUGAAUUUUUUUUUAAGAAAAUGAUAUUUGAUUAUUUAAUGAUUCAUCAAAUUUGUGUAGAUAUGCAUAACAAAAUUAACAGCAUGUCAUAAGCACUUGGUUGCAACUAAUUAUUCUAGUAAUGAUGAUGACGUGUUAUUAGGUGCCAAGCAAAAAGAGGCACCUGCGGCAACUCACGAAGUUGCCUAGUUGUUGAUGGAAUACUAUUUAUGCAUAGUACAAAUUUGAGUGGGAUAGCAUGAGUUACAAUUAAUCGUGCUAUAGAAUCCGUUCAUGGAUGUAGGUUGUGUGACUUUUAGUAUGAAGCACAAAAAAAAAACAAAAACAUACGUCAAAGAUAAUGGUCUAUAAAGCUGGAAUGACGUGGUGAUUUGGAGGGAUUUUAAACUGCCAUACAUUCCGGAGAAUAUAUGAGUGCAAUAUAUCCAGCACGUGAUAUUUGAGUGAUUUACAUGACGUUUACAGUCUAGUGUCGAGAAUCGAAACCGGCAAAUUCACGGUUUGGUUACCACAAAAAAUAAAAAAAACAUUACUAUAAAAAUUAUCUAUUCAAAUUGUUUAUCGAGGUAGUCUAAUGAUAUGGAUUAAUAUUUUAUUAUAUUCUUUUUGCUUUUUAUACUAUAAGUUUUUUUUUGUAGUUAGCUUGUCAAUUUUUUAAUGGCACUAGCUCAAUUUUAAUAAUGUUCUCCCUCAAUUACUAAAAAAAAACCAUAAAACUAGCUAGUUUUUUUUAUUAAAAAAAAAGUGGUAAGUGAAGAAACUUCAGUAAGAGAAUCACACUGACAAAACAAAGCAAGGUGAAGAACGAGUAGAAAUACCAACAGCUAGGGAAAAUAACAAGCCACAAAAACAAGAAACAUUUCCAAACUACUUACCAAAACCAGAAAUGCUUACCAUGCCUCUAACCAUGGAUAAAAAAGCGACACACUAUAUAUAUGUAGCCAUGCCUUCGAAGCUACUAUAUUUGGAAAACGGUUAAUACUCCUCCGUGAUCAUUUGAUAAGAUCAAACCACACCCUCUCCUCCUGCCUCAAAUCAUGGAGCGCUCGGUAUCGGCCCGGGUACACCGCCUGUGCAAGUCUCAUAAUCGCAUUCAAGUGCUGGAGACCUCGCAAUCACUAUCAGGUUGGAACAUGAUACAAAAACAAUGAUAACAAGGAGUAUUAUUGUCAAGUAUCGGUUAUUUCCUCGAGACCCCAUUUAUGAAAUGAAAAGGAAAAAGCUGGAACUUCUUUAGGGAACGUAUAAAAGGCGUAGAGAGCUAGCUAGUUUGCAAGAGUAGGGGCAAAGAUGGCGAGGGUAGCUAGGUGGUGUGAUAUACACACACAAAAAAGAAAAAAAGAAAAAAAGAAAUAUGUCCCUUCAUUUUCAUGGAUUCACAUCAUUGCCGGGUCUAGUUUACUUUUCCACCAUAGCUCAUUGCGGGGUCUAGUCUAGUUUACUUUUCCACCAUAGGUUUGCUCAUUGCGGGGUCUAGUUUACUUUUCCGUAUAAUCCUCUUAUCAAAAGCCCUUAACAUUUACAAAAUAAUCAUAAUAAAAAAUCCUCCAACUAUAAUUAAGAUUAAAAAUAUUACAUAAAUAUAAAAAACCUAGCUAAUACUAGUUAAUAAGGAAAGUAAAUAAAAUCAAAUCAAGUCUAUGAUACAUAAAAAAACUACAUAGAUAUAACAUCUCCAUAAAUGUUUCAAUUAAUAUCCUAGAUAUUUAUAUUUAAUCUCAUAAAUUAAAUAUUUAUGACAUAUUUAUAAAAGAUAUUUAUAUUAAAUAUCUUAAAUAUCUUAAGAAAAUUUAUAUAAACAUAAUAUUAUUAUUUUUUACAGUGGAGGUUUGUUUGAGCUUAUCUCUUUAAAUUUUAUCUUUUUAGAUAACAUAAAUUUAAAAAAACACAAAUAUAAUAUAAAACUUAAAUAAAAUAUAAAAAAAACAUUUAAAUUUAAAGAAUAAUUAUUCUCACACAUGAACAAAUAUUAUAUUAACCUGAAUCAUUCAUAGUAUAUAUAUAUUUUUUUAUAGGUUUCACUAAGCCCAUCAAAUCUUUCAGGUCAAAUUCCCAGCAUCAUCAAAGUACUGCAAUUAUUACCGAGUACAUAAAAAAACACCUGCAUAAUUAAAUUAAAUAAAAUUAACUAAACCUACAAGAUCUUGACAAACAAAUGAAGAUUAUCAUUGAAACAAUCAAGCAACAAAUCAUGAGAUUUGCCUCCCGCAUUACUAUCUGUGUAGAAAACGUCUACAGGAGGCUGUCCCUUCAUUUUCAUGGAAACUCAUGAACAUUUUCUGGGACGAGUCAAACCCUGUAAAUAUUAUGAAGUUGUAAUUAUUUUUUAAAAUAUUUUUAAUUUAAAAAUAUAUUAAAAUAAUAUUUUUAUAUUUUUAAAAAUUAUUUUUAACAUUAAUAUAUUAAAAUAAUUUAAAAAUAUUUUAAAAAUAAUUAAUUUAAAAUAAAAAAUAUAAAACAAUUAAUUUUUUUAAAAAAUAUUUUUCAAUCACGAAAACAAGUAGUCAGGCCAAGUCCAACUUACUUUUCCACUUAAUGUUUACUCAUGAACCAGUACAACACUCAAAUUAGUCCCUCUAUUGUCAUAUUUCGAACGAGACAAAUCAUUCAUCGGCGCAGGCAACUUUGAAUAUUGCAUGCAUAUAGGCAAGUGGUUGAUGUAACAUAAAUGUUGGAAAUUUGAUACAUUGAAAGGAUAAUAUUCCAAGACAAGGUUGUAAAAUACACUUUUUUUAUAUAAGAUAUAUAAUAUAUAAUAAAAACUUUGAUUGGAAACUUAAAUCAUAAAAUUAUAAAUAAAAUAUUUUAACUAAUUAUAUAUUAAUAAUUCCAGUCAAGUAGUAAAUAAUUAUAUAUCACAAUUAAAAUAAAAGUGAAAUAAAUAAUAAAAAAGUCCAAACACUUUAAAAUAUAUGCUUCAAAUAAAAAUUCAUAUAUGCUUUAAAUAACUUAAAAACACAAUACAAUACAAUUAUGUCUAUAGAGUUUUAUUAACUAAAAAUUAAUAAACCUAAAACAAACAAUCUAUUGGAGUGUCAUAUAAACUAAAACUAGUCUCAUUGUCUUUAUCUUUCUUAUUAUUCCUAAAACAUUCAUCAAAAUAAUUGCCAUCUAGAGAAUUAUUCCUAAAACUCGUGACUCUGCUUCACUGGAGGAUCGAGCAAUAAUGCGUUACUUGCCAGAUUUCCAUGAAAUGGGAGUGGUGCCAAGAAAUACAAUAUAUUGAAUUUUUGAUCAUCAAUACUACUGCCCCAAUCAACAUCAAUAAAACCAUGAAGAGACAAAGCAGAGUCACGAGUAAGGUGGAGAUCAAAGGAAGAUGUACCUUUUAAUUAUCGUAGGAUACCCUUAACAGCAGCCCAAUGGCCUUCAGUAGGAGCAUGCAUAAACUGACAUACCCUGUUCACAGUAUAACAGAUAUCUGGUCGAGUAAAGGUGAGAUACUAAAGAGUACCAAUAAAGAGUUGGGGUUUACACGAACUUAAAAAUUGACUCAAGUCAUAAGGCAAGCCGCUAGUCCCUCACUUAACAUAAAGUUUAAUAUGUGCACUCAAAAGGACAAUAAUAAUAAAAGUGAUGCAUGAUAUAAUGCAAUAAGAUCUUAUCCAUACCUAAUAUACGUUGUAUGACAUGAUGUAAAGAUGCAUGCUAAAGUUUUAAACAAAGUAUCAUUCAUAGCAAACAAACAAAAAUCAACAAAAAAAUUACCAAGCCUAGUCUAAGGGUCCCUAGUGGAGUCGUCAUCCUAUCGCACCCUUGCAGCGGAGCGAUAACCCUCGAUUGAUUUCGAGUUUUUGUUUUUUAUGAAUAAGGAGUCGCUACCUAGUAUAUUGGUCACUAGGAAACCUAACUAGUCUUUCAUAUAUUCUAAGGCAGGGGACUGGUUGCGUAAAGGGAAGGUAUUAUCAUCCCUGGUACGCUCUAUCUAAGGUAAGCUACUUGAUGUUUGGUUUGCCUUAUAAUUGCCAUGGUGUUGGUGUUUUCUAAUCCCAUCAGUUUUUCUAGGUUUGAUUCAUACUAAAUUUAUUAAGAUAGAAAUCCAAUGAGAUUCCAUGUGCUUUAAAAGCUUAUUUUCCCCUUAGUAUUUAAAGAGUUUGCGACUCGUAAAUUGCAUGGAGGAGGAAUAAAAAAAUUUAGAAAUCUAAGAAAAUUUAGAGCGUUUUAAAAGCCUAUUUUUGCCUUAGUGUUUCAUACUCUCACUUCUCGUAAACCGUGGAGUAAAAAAAUUGAAAUGUCCUCGAUUAUAAUCAAAGCUUCUUUUAAGGUUGUGUGAUGACUUAUUAUUCCUAGAAAAUUAUUUUGGAUAUUUACCACAUAGGGUUUCUUUAUCCAAAUAUUAACAGUGAAUCAUAACAAAUUAUUCCCAAUAAUAUUUUGGAUACUCAUCCAUUUAGGAUUUCUUUAUCCAAACAUUAACGGUAAAUAAUAGAUGGAUUCCACACCCAAAAUAAGAUUUGUCUAUUUUUUGAAACAUUAGCCAAUACCCUUCAGAGUUCUACAAACAUGUUGUAAAAUCCAGAAAUACAAGAAAAUAAUUUUUAUUGUGUUUAAGAAAUCCAUGCGAAAACACAUUUUCAAAAUUUCCAAAAAAAAAUUUAUAUAAAAAAUACUUUCAAAACAUGUUAGGGUAUUGGCUGUAUGCAACACAUAAAAAUAUUUUUUAUAUUUUCUAUGUAAAAACACAAACAUUACAUUUAAUCACAAUUAAAGUAAAAAAAACGUAUGUAGAAACAUGUUAUUACAUUUUCACGGGAAAUACAACAUGAUUUUAUUUGUCAUUCAGAUGCUUGACCAUAUAAAAAUUAAAACAUUAAAUUCAUUUUUUUUUGUCUUUUUGAUUUUAUAAUUCAAUAACAUAUUAAAAAACAAAAUACAAACACACACACCCCUCACUUUUUACUAUGUUUACUCACACCCAUAAUUACAUGUUUACAAAAUAUCUAAAUUCAAAAUAAACCAAACAAAACAUUAAACAAUUUAAAAUUUACAAAUGAACCCAAAACAGUCCUAGAAUUGUAAAGAAGGCAUUCUAGAGUUUGAGGAACAGUGGUGGCGAGUCUUCUCCAUGCGUGGCCGCCACUAGCGGCACGUAAGUUCAGGCGCCGCCGCAAGAAAUAACAGGGGACGGGGGGAUUUGGCUUGGCUUCCUCUUUUCUUCUCUUUCUCACCAACAGUGACCUGCAAAAUAAAAAAAACGCAGCAAUCAAAUCUAUUCUCGAUCUUCUUUCUUUUUAGAUUUGUUUCAAAGCAUAUUGUUUUUUAGUUUCACCUUCUUCUCCUUUGCUUCAGGUGGUUGGUGGCAAGGAGGAGGGACAGACGAGAGAGGGGUGUCGUUGUUGGAAGAGCGGGGAGUGACUACCCUCAGAAACCCGCUGGAACGGACAUAUUGCCGACCCUUCUUUCUUCUUUGGUUAGCGAUGAGGCAAGCAAAGGUUUGUUGUUGAGAGGGAAAUGGGGACCCCUCUGCCCGUUUUCUUUCAGCCUUGACAAGUUGACCUAAGAUAAGGACUGAAAAGGAGCGGUUGAGAUAGGAGAAAUGAAGUGAAAUGGUGAUGGGAAGGGAGGUCUUGGCUGAGAGAGGGAGAUUCUGAUAAGGGCAAGACACGGGGCUGUGAGUGGGAAACGUAGGAAGGAGAAAGAUGAGUUGGUUGUCUGUGGGGAGAUAGUUGAGAGACGGAAAAGUCUGAUAUGGGGGAGCGACUUCUCUUAGCUAGGAGAGUAGGAGCAGGAAGGUGGGUGUUGUGGUCGAGAGAUUGUUUGUAAGGAGGAUGAGGUCAGGUCAUGGCUGAGUGUGGAAGAGGGCUAUGAGGCUUGUGACUUAGGAGGAGAAUGAAUGGAUUAAGGUUUUUUAGUUUUUUUUUUGGUAGUUUAAGGUUUCUAUCUCUUUUUCAAAAUUUACCUCCACGUAAAUUCCCCCCAGUGCAUAUGGUUGGAGGUUCGCUUAUAUAGAAAAUCUUUACACAUGCUAUUUAAGGAAAUAUUCUGAUAAUUAUUACAGAGAUUGUCUUUUAUAACCAGAACCAAUAAAUCCUAUAUAUAUGGUAUUUUAUAUUGCAGUGAUUAUUUUCCAUAACCAGCACGAAUCAAAUCAUAUAUCUAUGGUAUUUUAUAUUGCAGUAAUUAUAUAUGAUUCAGUAAUCAUCUCCUUGACAUAUUGCUUAAUAUUAGCUCUGAUACUCUAUGUUAUUGCCACAUGUAAACCCUUUUUAUUUUUAUUUUUAUAUUGAAAAAUUAUCAAAACAUGGGUAAAAAAUUAGGUAGCAACACCUGGGAACGGGUUGAUAUGUAUCCUCAAUGGUGGGAUUAUCCAGCAUAUUCUAGGUAGAAGACUGCGGUUGAUGGUGCGGGCAAGUCAAUCAUCGCAAUGUCUUCCUCAUCGAGGUUCGCAACUUUUAUAUCAAUGUCACUCAAUUCAAUCAUCUCAGCAUCUACCUUAUUGUGGUUUACAGCUUCUGUGUCACCAACAUAAUCCUUAUAAAGGUCAUUGUCCAAUGAUAAAUUCCUCUCGUUUGGAAUAGUUUGAGUAUUAGUGAAUAAAGUAGCAUUGUGCUUGCUGCUACUUGUCGCACGUCACUUGCGCGGUGAUUCGAUUGUGAUUUUUCAUUCAUUUGCUUGAUUUGGGGUCUUGGGAGUCGCCACCUAGUAUUUAAUUGAAUAAAUCUAAAACUUAUCAAGAGAAAAACCUUGGUCUCAAGUAAACGUCCACCUAUGUAAAUAAAAAACUAAUCAUUAAAAUGAUAUGUCAAAUUAUAUUAUGAAUAUUUAUCUUUUCUUAACAUGGCUAGUUAACCGAUCCGUAGUUUGACUAACCCUAACCAUUAAACAACUAUAAUGUGCAGUACAUGUUUAAUUUGAUCGAAUAUUUUCUCUAAAAUUAAUAACAUAAAUCUACCACAAUUAUUAAACUAAGUUGCUUCACAAGUUUAUAUAUCACAACAUCCGGUUUUGAUAGCAAACUUAGCAAUAGAUUGGUUAGAAUAAUAACUUAGAAUCCACUCUAGUAAUCAAACUAAACAAUCAUAGGAAAUAAGCAUAGGAAAACAAAAAUAUUUGUCAUAUAAAUUAAAAAUAAAAGGUAAAAUAGAUCUCACAGUUCUAGAAAUCUGAAGAUUUCUAUGUCCUUGCAACCAAGAAAAAGCAUUUAGCCUUGUAUGUCUAUUGAGAAAAUAAUCAAGAGAAAAGAUGAAAACAUGAUUUCAGGUAUAGGGAGGAAAGGGUUGAAUUUUUCUUCUCUUUGGCUGCUACUCCUUUCUUUUUAUUUGAUAGGAAAUCAUAAUCCCUCUUUCCUACAAAAUAGUCAUUUUCUAAGUAGACAAUUUACAUUUAAAUAGUGCAAUAAAUAUUUUUGUAAAAAAAAAAAUAGUAUUGCAUAAAAUCUUCAAGUUUUAACUUUUAACUUAGAAGAGUUAAAUAGCCCAAAUAAAGACUUGGAUGUUAGUUUGGAUGCUUGAGAAGUAAAUUGAACUUGUUUCUUCACAAAACCUAUCUACUAAUAGAAUUUAUGAGCUUAGCAACUAUAUGAGGCGUUUAAGCAUAAGAGAAUUGCUAAUCAUAAGCAUAAUAUCAUCAAUAUAGAUCAAAAGAUAACAAAUAUCAGUACCAAUAGAAAAGAUAAAUACUAAGGUAUCAAUCUUGAAGGAACAAAAACUAAUUAAUAGCAGAAAUUCAUUUAGACGAGUAUACCAAGCCCGCAAAACCUGUUUUAAACUAUAUAAAGACUUAUGCAAUCUACACACAUGAAAGGGGAGAGCAAAAUCAACAAAACCUGGAAGUUAUUUCAUGUAGAUCUCUUUGUCAAAGAUUCCAUUAAGAAAUGCAUUAUGGAUAUAUCAAACUGAUAGAGUUUCCAAUCACAUGAAACUGCAAUGGAAAAGACUAAUCUAACGGUUGCUUAGUUGAUAACAAGACUAAAUGUUUUAAAGUAAUCAAUAUUUUCUUGUUGAGUGAAACCUCUAGCAACUAGGCGCGUCUUAUAUCUUUUAAUGCUUCCAUCAACUCUGUGUUUAAUUUUAUAUACCUACUAACUACUAAUAACAUUUAUCGAAGAAUGAAAAAGCACCAAAUGUAAACCAAUAAGAAAAUUGUUUGUAAAUAAAAGAGAGUGUUAAAGGAAGUAUCAUACAUCUAAUAAAUUAAAAAAACAAAACAAUAUAUUUAAAAGAUCGAUUGGAUAGCAAAUUACAAAGCAUAAUGAAAAAGAGGAAAGCGGUAAUUAGAAACUAGGAUGGAAACUACUUUGGAAAUAACCAAAAAAAAAAAACAUUAUUGGGAUAGAUGGUUGAUUUGCCCGUUGUGGAAUUUGUAAAUCCUUUCUCAUAUAAUUAAUUUAUGAGUUGAUCUUGUCUUGGAAAAUGAAUGAUGAUACGUAUACUUCAUGAACAUGCGAGUCUUGACUUGGAAAAUGAAUUAUUAUGGGUGAUAAAUUCGUGGAAAUGAAAUAUGUCCCUUCAUUUUCAUGGAUUCACAUCAUUGCGGGGUCUAGCUUACUUUUCAACCACAGGUUUGCUCAUGAACCAGCUAAUUCGAAGGAGCCAGAUUAUUCAGCGACGUGGACUUAAAAUCUGAAUAUAGCAUGCAUAUGCAAGUGGUUGAUGUUACAUUUUGAGAAUGAAACGUUCAUCAUAAAACUUCAAGUUUUUUAAGAGUGAUCUAAAUUUAAUUCUUUUUUAAGACAUGAAGGCCACCGUAACUUCUGGACUCACCAACUGUCUUUUUUAUCUUCUAUCUCACCUAAUAAAUCUUCCUCUCUCACUACUGCUUUAUUCACAUCCAUUCCUGCCUCUAUGAUUUCUUGGACAAAUGCUACUGUGUCAUCUUAAGCAUCUCAUCUUCCCUGGAAUUGCUGUCUUUGCAUAAAUGAUACUAUUUCUUAAAAAACUAUUUUCUUGACGUCGUGACAUCAAUAUAUAUGCACUUGAAAUCUAAUUUCAACAAAUUAGCCUUAAGGGCACACACUCAAUAAGUGAUUAUUUUCAAUAUGUGAAGUCUAUCAUUGAUUCUCUUGAAGCAAUUGAAUGUUCUUUUUUAUAGGAGGACAUAAUAACUCAAAUUUUGCAUAUAUGCAAGUGGUUGAUGUAACAUGAGUGUUGGAAAUUUGACACAUGAAAAGGAUAAUAUUCCAAGACGGACGUCAUGUUACAAUUAAGAACAAAACUUUAAACGAGGGCCAUUCUGACCCAACAAUUCAUAAAAUAUCUUAAAAUAUAAUAUCACUCGAUAACAUAAAAGACAAUGAUUGUAAACAGAGGAGAGUGUUAGAAAAACUAUCAUUCAUCUAAUAAAUAUAAAAUAUCUAAAAAUUAUAAAAAAUUAAGUAAAAAUUGACUAAAUAUAUUUAAGAGACUGAGCCUAAACUCUAAAUCUUAAACCCUAGACUUAAAAUCAAUGUGGAGAUCAAAUGUUGGUUGAUGAAUGUGAAAGAGGUUCUCACUGAGUCUGAAAGCAUCUUAAGGAUGUAAGGAAUAUUCCUUACUUUCCUAUUUAAUGUUUGAUCCAUAGAGCAUCACAGCAACCAUUUGAUCUCAACUUAAAUCUGUAAGACCCAAUUGAAACUGAAGCUUCCAAGCAUGAGUUCAUUCAUAUUGUGGUUUCUUUCUUUUCAAAUAAUUCAACACUCUUUCUCCUUCUCAUUAGCUAGAGGAGGAAGCGAGAUUGACAAACUCUCUCUACUAGCUUUCAAGGCUCAAAUUUCAGACCCCCCUACAAAACUAAGCUCGUGGAAUGAAUCCUUACACUUGAAUCUCUCAUUUAAUGACCUUGAAGGUGAGGUGCCCAUGCACGGUGUCUUUGAGAAUACAAGUGCGGUUUCAGUUUCAGGGAACAAGAAUCUUUGUGGAGGAAUUCUUCAGUUGAAUCUGCCCACUUGCAGAUCCAAGUCAACAAAGCUGGGAUUGAUAGUCGCUAUUCCUUGUGGCUUUAUUGGAUUAGUCCUCAUCACAUCUUUUUUAUUUUUGUGCUGCUUGAAAAAAUCGUUGAGAAAAACAAAAAACGAGCUGUCAUGUGAAAUGCCAUUCCGAACAGUAGCUUACAGAGACCUCUCUCAAGCAACUAAUGGAUUCUCUUCGGGCAAUUUAGUUGGUGCUGGUAGUUUUGGGUCUGUGUAUAAAGGAGUACUUGCAUUUGAUGGAGUUGUUGUUGCGGUGAAAGUAUUCAACUUGCUACGCGAAGGAGCUUCCAAAAGCUUCAUGAGAGAAUGUGCAGCCUUGCUAAACAUCAGGCACCGGAAUCUUGUCAAAGUAUUAUAUGCAUAUGCUGGCGUUGAUAUUCAAGGUGAUGUUUUUAAAGCUCUUGUUUAUGAGUUCAUGAUCAAUGGAAGCCUAGAAGAAUGGUUGCAUCCAAACCAAACAACGGAUCAGGAAAUGGACGGGCCAAGAAAUCUUAAUCUCAUUCACAUGUUAAACAUUGCAAUUGAUGUGGCUAAUGCGCUCGACUAUUUGCACAACCAAUGCCAAAUGCCUAUUGUUCAUUGUGAUCUGAAGCCAAGUAAUGUUCUUCUCGAUGGAGAUAUGACUGCUCAUGUUGGGGACUUUGGAUUGUUAAAGUUCCUUUCUGAAGCAUCCUGUCAGUCAUCUUCGAGUCAGACAAGCUCUGUCGGAUUAAAAGGCACCGUCGGCUAUGCAGCUCCUGGUAACACUCAACUCUAGAGGGAUACAUAUUCCAUUAUUUACAAGUUUUCUCUAGCAUUUUAUCUCCAAGUUCAUAAGCAACUCUGAUUAAUUAACCAUUCAAACAAACUGACUGCAGAGUAUGGCAUCGGAAGCGGGGUGUCAACUUUCGGGGAUGUAUACAGCUAUGGCAUCCUACUGCUGGAGAUGAUUACUGGGAAGAGACCUACAGAUAGCAUGUUUAAAGAUGGACUAGAACUUCACAGUUAUGUUAAAAUGGCAUUACCUGACCGUGUAGUUGAUGUCGCGGACCCGAAACUUCUGACAGAAGUUGAUCAGGGAAAAGGCACUGAUCAAAUCGUGGAGUGUUUGAUUUCAAUCAGCAAGAUAGGAGUGUUUUGCUCAGAAAAGUUUCCUAAAGAGAGAAUGGACAUUAGCAAUGUUGUAGCUGAACUGAAUCGAACUAAGGCCAAUUUUCUUGGAAGGCAUAGACUGCUAUCCAAGAAGGUUCUUGCCCUGUAGUGUCCAGACGACUUCAAAGUGAAUGUAAGACAUGAGGAAUGGAGUCUAAAUAUUGUAACUUUCUUAUUUCCAUCAGCAUGAGUCCUAGCUAGCUACUAGUCAGAAAGUGUCCCUGAAAGAGAGCACGAAACCUGUAGUGUAAGUGCCUGUUUUUUUUCAAAUAACCUGUAAUGUAAUUAAGUGUUGUGCAAAAAUUAAGC